UACAGAGGGGGCAAGCGUUGUUCGGAAUUACUGGGCGUAAAGGGCGCGUAGGCGGCCUGCUAAGUCGAACGUGAAAUCCCUGGGCUCAACCCAGGAACUGCGUCCGAUACUGGUUGGCUUGAAUCCGGGAGAGGGAUGUGGAAUUCCUGGUGUAGCGGUGAAAUGCGCAGAUAUCAGGAGGAACACCGGUGGCGAAGGCGGCGAUCUGGGAAGAUACUGACGCUGAGGUGCGAAAGCGUGGGGAGCAAACAGG
RNAcentral lists this ribosomal RNA (253 nucleotides) under uncultured bacterium. RNAcentral describes it as "partial 16S ribosomal RNA". It matches the Rfam family "Bacterial small subunit ribosomal RNA", at positions 524 to 776 of the family's 1533-position model. The record is from RNAcentral.